UACGUAGGUGGCAAGCGUUGUCCGGAAUUAUUGGGCGUAAAGCGCGCGCAGGCGGAUUGGUCAGUCUGUCUUAAAAGUUCGGGGCUUAACCCCGUGAUGGGAUGGAAACUGCCAAUCUAGAGUAUCGGAGAGGAAAGUGGAAUUCCUAGUGUAGCGGUGAAAUGCGUAGAUAUUAGGAAGAACACCAGUGGCGAAGGCGACUUUCUGGACGAAAACUGACGCUGAGGCGCGAAAGCCAGGGGAGCGAACGGG
RNAcentral lists this ribosomal RNA (252 nucleotides) under Veillonella dispar. Its description in RNAcentral is "partial 16S ribosomal RNA". It matches the Rfam family "Bacterial small subunit ribosomal RNA", at positions 524 to 776 of the family's 1533-position model. Lineage: Bacteria; Bacillati; Bacillota; Negativicutes; Veillonellales; Veillonellaceae. The record is from RNAcentral. RNAcentral also lists the same sequence under 3 other names.